RNAcentral lists this ribosomal RNA (263 nucleotides) under uncultured archaeon. RNAcentral's name for it is "partial 16S ribosomal RNA". It matches the Rfam family "Archaeal small subunit ribosomal RNA", at positions 748 to 1009 of the family's 1478-position model. The record is from RNAcentral.
CAGCCGUAAACAAUGUGCGUUAGGUGUGUCGGUAACCACGCGUUACUGAUGCGCCGAAGAGAAAUCGUGAAACGCACCACCUGGGAAGUACGGUCGCAAGGCUGAAACUUAAAGGAAUUGGCGGGGGGAGGCACCACAACAGGUGGAGCCUGCGGUUUAAUUGGAUUCAACGCCGGGAAGCUCACCGGAUAAGACAGCGGAAUGAUUGCCGGGCUGAAGACUCUGCAUGACUAGCUGAGAGGAGGUGCAUGGCGUAGACGUCU